This 425-nucleotide ribosomal RNA is filed under the name uncultured bacterium. Its description in RNAcentral is "partial 16S ribosomal RNA". It matches the Rfam family "Bacterial small subunit ribosomal RNA", at positions 354 to 796 of the family's 1533-position model. The record is from RNAcentral.
GUGGGGAAUAUUGCACAAUGGGGGAAACCCUGAUGCAGCGACGCCGCGUGAGUGAAGAAGUAUUUCGGUACGUAAAGCUCUAUCAGCAAGGAAGAAAAUGACGGUACUUGACUAAGAAGCCCCGGCUAACUACGUGCCAGCAGCCGCGGUAAUACGUAGGGGGCAAGCGUUAUCCGGAUUUACUGGGUGUAAAGGGAGCGUAGACGGUAUGGUAAGUCAGAUGUGAAAGCACGGGGCUCAACCCCGGGACUGCAUUUGAAACUAUCAGACUAGAGUGCAGGAGAGGUAAGUGGAAGUCCUAGUGUAGCGGUGAAAUGCGUAGAUAUUAGGAGGAACACCAGUGGCGAAGGCGGCUUACUGGACUGUAACUGACGUUGAGGCUCGAAAGCGUGGGGAGCAAACAGGAUUAGAUACCCGUGUAGUCC